This 707-nucleotide ribosomal RNA is filed under the name uncultured bacterium. RNAcentral describes it as "bacterial SSU rRNA". It matches the Rfam family "Bacterial small subunit ribosomal RNA", at positions 93 to 790 of the family's 1533-position model. The record is from RNAcentral.
UAGUGGCGAAAGGGUUAGUAAUGGAUAGGUAACGUACCCUGUGCUUCGGAAUAGCGUCUCCCGACUUGUCGGGAUACCGAAAGGGUCGGUAAUACCGAAUAAUAUCAGUUGUCGAUGGGCAACUGAUCAAAGAUUUAUCGGCAUUGGAGCGGCCUAUCUCCUAUCAGCUUGUUGGUGAGGUAAUGGCUCACCAAGGCAGCGACGGGUAGCGGGACUGAGAGGUUGACCCGCAACAUCGGGACUGAGACACUGCCCGGACCUCCACGGAGGGCUGCAGUAACGAAUAUUGUGCAAUGGGCGAAAGCCUGACACAGCGACGCCGCGUGCGGGAGGAAGUCCCUCGGGAUGUAAACCGCUGUCAGGGGGAAGAAAGUCCGCUUCGGCGGAUUGAUCUAACCCAAAGGAAGUCACGGCUAACUUCGUGCCAGCAGCCGCGGUAAGACGAAGGUGGCAAGCGUUGUUCGGUGUUACUGGGCUUAAAGGGUGUGCAGGCGGAAAGGUAAGCGUCUUGUGAAAGCCCCCGGCUUAACCGGGGAAUUGCUUGGCGAACUACCUUUCUUGAGGCAGGUAGGGGCGCAUGGAACUCUUGGUGGAGCGGUGGAAUGCGUAGAUAUCAAGAGGAACGCCGAUGGAGAAAUCAGUGCGCUGGGCCUGUCCUGACGCUGAUACACGAAGGCGUGGGGAGCGAACGGGAUUAGAUACCCCGG